UACGUAGGGACCAAGCGUUGUUCGGAAUUACUGGGCGUAAAGGGCGCGUAGGCGGCCUUCUAAGUCGAACGUGAAAUCCCCGGGCUCAACCCGGGAACUGCGUCCGAUACUGGAAGGCUUGAAUCCGGGAGAGGGAUGCGGAAUUCCCGGUGUAGCGGUGAAAUGCGUAGAUAUCGGGAGGAACAUCGAUGGCGAAGGCAAUCACCUGGGCCUGAACUGAACACUCGAGACACGAAAGCGUGGG
This 244-nucleotide ribosomal RNA is filed under the name uncultured bacterium. RNAcentral describes it as "partial 16S ribosomal RNA". It matches the Rfam family "Bacterial small subunit ribosomal RNA", at positions 524 to 765 of the family's 1533-position model. The record is from RNAcentral.